Molecule: ribosomal RNA, 301 nt
Filed under: uncultured bacterium
Lineage: Bacteria
Description: partial 16S ribosomal RNA
Rfam family: Bacterial small subunit ribosomal RNA
Source: RNAcentral
CAGUAGCCGCGGUAAUACGGAGGGGGCUAGCGUUGUUCGGAAUUACUGGGCGUAAAGCGUACGUAGGCGGUUUUGUAAGUUAGAGGUGAAAGCCCGGAGCUCAACUCCGGAAUUGCCUUUAAGACUGCAUCACUUGAACGUCGGAGAGGUGAGUGGAAUUCCGAGUGUAGAGGUGAAAUUCGUAGAUAUUCGGAAGAACACCAGUGGCGAAGGCGGCUCACUGGACGACUGUUGACGCUGAGGUACGAAAGCGUGGGGAGCAAACAGGAUUAGAUACCCCCGUAGUCCCUGUCUCUUAUAC